Phyllosticta citribraziliensis is the source of this 83-nucleotide non-coding RNA. The record is from the annotation of a GenBank genome assembly. Lineage: Eukaryota; Fungi; Ascomycota; Dothideomycetes; Botryosphaeriales; Phyllostictaceae.
GGAUUGGUGGCGUAGUGGUAACGCAUGCUGUGGUUAAACAUCACAUCCACAGUAAGUCCUAGGUUCAAGUCCUGGCUGAUCUG